UGGGGAAUCUUGCGCAAUGGACGAAAGUCUGACGCAGCGACGCCGCGUGUGGGAGGACGCCUUUCGGGGUGUAAACCACUGUUGCCCGGGACGAACACGGUUUUUCGAGACCGCUGACGGUACCGGGUGAGGAAGCACCGGCUAACUCCGUGCCAGCAGCCGCGGUAAUACGGAGGGUGCGAGCGUUGUCCGGAAUCAUUGGGCGUAAAGGGCGCGUAGGCGGCCCGGGAAGUCGGUGGUGAAAGCGCGGGGCUCAACUCCGCGUCGGCCAGCGAGACUCCCGUGGCUGGAGCACUGUAGAGGCAGGCGGAAUUCCGGGUGUAGCGGUGGAAUGCGUAGAGAUCCGGAAGAACACCGGUGGCGAAGGCGGCCUGCUGGGCAGUAGCUGACGCUGAGGCGCGACAGCGUGGGGAGCAAACAGGAUUAGAUACCCCCGUAGUCC
This 442-nucleotide ribosomal RNA is filed under the name uncultured bacterium. RNAcentral's name for it is "bacterial SSU rRNA". It matches the Rfam family "Bacterial small subunit ribosomal RNA", at positions 355 to 796 of the family's 1533-position model. The record is from RNAcentral.